GAUCAUGGCUCAGAUUGAACGUUGGCGGCAUGCUUUACACAUGCAAGUCGAACGGCAGCACAGGGAGCUUGCUCCCGGGUGGCGAGUGGCGCACGGGUGAGUAAUACAUCGGAACGUGUCCUGUUGUGGGGGAUAACUGCUCGAAAGGGUGGCUAAUACCGCAUGAGACCUGAGGGUGAAAGCGGGGGAUCGCAAGACCUCGCGCAACUGGAGCGGCCGAUGCCCGAUUAG
RNAcentral lists this ribosomal RNA (231 nucleotides) under uncultured bacterium. Its description in RNAcentral is "partial 16S ribosomal RNA". It matches the Rfam family "Bacterial small subunit ribosomal RNA", at positions 15 to 244 of the family's 1533-position model. The record is from RNAcentral.